This 862-nucleotide long non-coding RNA is filed under the name Coturnix japonica (Japanese quail). RNAcentral describes it as "lncRNA (ENSCJPG00005018341.1)". Lineage: Eukaryota; Metazoa; Chordata; Aves; Galliformes; Phasianidae. The record is from RNAcentral.
UGCAUCCUUGGAAGGAAUAAACAGAAGGGGACAGAUGAGCUCUAUGAUAUUCAUCAUUGUAUUACAGAACAACUGCCCUUUAUGACUGUCUUUAAGAUUGUGAUUUCAUGAGAUAUAUUUUAGCAUAACCAUAACAGGAGAGAAAAAGAGAAAAGAAUGAGAAAGAUAUGCCUGCUUUUGGAUGGGAAAAGAUCAGUAGAAGCAAAGAACUAUCAGAGGUGUCUUGAAAGGUGCAACAACUUAACCACUUCAUAUGGAAGGCAUUUUUGAGUGUGCAAGAUGUGUAACAUGCAAGACUUGAACAGUAUUCUACAUCAGAAUGACUUCAGUUUUCUAUUUGGCUGACAUAUUUAAUUUAUCCUGUCAAGAAACAAGUUCUCUGUGAAGUAUGGCUCAAGGGUGUUGUGUGAAUGCUUUGACAUUUAUCCCCCUCUUCUGCUCAGUCUAAUCAGGUCAGAUUGAACCCUAUGUAUUCUUAAACCUUCAAAGAACAUGGGAAGUAUGGAAAACUAUUUUGCCAGAACUAUAUGUAUAUUUUUCGAAAGAUGUCUAGUUUAACUAGCUUGUUCCUUCAAUUUUAAGAGUAAAGCUGUGUUUAGGUGAUACUAAGUAGGCCUGCAAACUGCUCUCAUUGAAUCCAAAUCAAAUAAUCUAACUGGCAUAUCUGAGUUCUGAGGUUAUUGAUCUUGAUUACUGAUCAUUAUGGAGAUGCAGUGCUUCAAAAACUUUACACUAUGAAACAAUUCAUGAUAAUUCCUUUCCAAUGAUGUGGAAAUACACUGAAGUCAUUCACAAGAUAUAAUGCACAAUGAAUUGAAAAUGCUAUAGGGCUGAAAAAUAAAGUUUCUCAAAAAAAAAACCA